This is a non-coding RNA of Podarcis lilfordi (Lilford's wall lizard), 79 nucleotides long. The record is from the annotation of a GenBank genome assembly. NCBI's taxonomy places the organism in Eukaryota, Metazoa, Chordata, Lepidosauria, Squamata, Lacertidae.
GGCGCAGAAAUGUAGCUUAGUUGGUCAAAGGGCUUGUUUGGUAAACAGGGAAUCCUGGGUUCGGAUCCCGGUGGGGUCU